This 4624-nucleotide long non-coding RNA is filed under the name Ovis aries (sheep). Its description in RNAcentral is "lncRNA (ENSOARG00000025610.1)". Lineage: Eukaryota; Metazoa; Chordata; Mammalia; Artiodactyla; Bovidae. The record is from RNAcentral.
AUGUCAAAAUUAAUAAUGUCACACAUAUACCAAGGAGAGGGGAAGAAACUAAGAAAACAGGAAGAGAGAAAGCAGUGGAGGUGUCUGGGGAAGAGAGGUGGAGAAAAGAUGGAGAGGAGAGAAGGACAACAAGAGAGGAGUCAGAACACAGAGGAAAACAUUCCUGAGGCCAAAAACAGCUUCUUGCGUCACUCACAGAUUCAGAGCCUGGGUCUGCACAGAGUUGAUUCCGGGACAGAGGAGCGAUGGGAGCCGUGGGCUGUCCGUGUACAUUUGACAAGAGUUGUUUGUAGGGACAAAAGGGAAAUAAAUUGAGGGAAAGGGAAAAAAAAAAAAAGAGUGAGAAAGGAACUGCUCUAAGUAUCCUGAAAUGUUCUCAGAUGAUGUUUGUUUUUAAAGUUGCUUUUAGGGACAAACCUUUAAGUCCUCUUAAAUGAGAGAUUUAUAUUCAUUUAGGUCCUUUUCUUGGGAUUUUUGAAAGAGGAAAGGACCAAAUUGUUCAGUGAGAAACUCAACAUACUUUUUGAUCCAACUAUACUCAUGUAUGUGAAAGGGGAAAGGGAGGGAAGAAGAGAGAGGAUGUGUUCACUAAAGCCCUCUACGGGUAUUUUCAUUAUUCCCACUUUGCAGAUGGCAAAACUGAGGUUCUAGUGUUAGAUAAUGAAGCUUACCCAACUAAUUAGUGUUGAAUCCUGGUUUUGAACUUAGAAAUACUUGACUCUGAAGUGUGUAAUUUCAUUUUUCUCUAGUAGAUCAGUAUACAGGUGCACUCCAACUUUUAAAGCACAUAUGUACAUCUGAAAAUUGAACUAUGAGGUACCAAAGUAUAUAGGGCUGGACUGAAGCCAAGGACAUAAUAAGACUGGAGAUGAUGCUGCAUGUGUACAGAGGAGACAUUAUUAGAACUUCUGAUUCUACUCCCAGUUACAAAAAAAAAAAAGAACUGAACAAAGAGAGCCCUUGCUAUUUCUUUUUUUUUUUUUUAAACAAUUAGAACAAAGAAGGAACUAAAAUCAAAGGUCCAUUUCUGUGUAUUGAUGUUAAAAUCCCAGAAUUCCUGUCUAGAGCAUUGCUGUGGCUAGUUUUCCAUCUUGCAGUGCUUCAUGUGCGAAUUCUGGCCCUUGAUGUGGAGAUGGCCUGGGAUGAUUGCCGUAUGGAAUGUUCCUGAACAUCUGCUCGAGGAGGUGUGGGCUUAAACAAAUGAAUAUGAUGAGAAGCAGUCUGGCAGAACAGACAGAGACCAGGGCUGUGUGACCUUGAGUCAUUCAAAACCUCAUAAUCUUGUUGUCCUUCUUGGUAACAUGUGGUGGAGGUUAAACUAGAUAAUUUCUAAGACUCCUUCCAUAGCUAAGAUUCCAUAGCUUAAAAUAAAUCCCAAAGGAGCAAAAGUACGUAUGUGACCAAAAUCCCUGUCCCUGAGAAGUCUGUAUCACUAAGAAUGUUAUCUCCUUGAGGACUGGGAACUUCCAGCUAGGUCCCCCUCUAUCCAUCUUACAAGCAGCAGGCACGUAAUAAACACUGCAUGCUGUGUAUUGCCCAAUUGGUUUCUUGUCGGACAGAUUUGACCUAGAGUUCCUCCAAAGAGGCCCCACUUUGACCCUUGUGGCACACAAAUAGCCAGUAACUGGGAGAAAACAUCCACCAGCUGGACAUUUAAAAACUCCAAGUAACAAACUGGUGAUCUCAGCCUGGCUCUGGUGACUGUGUCAUAAAAUCAUGAAAACUUGUCAACAAACACAGCAGAGACAAAGGAGGGCACGGAUUGAAGGAUCAUAUAACCUAAUCACUCUUCUUUCCCAAAUUCUUGAAAGGGGAUGAAAAGCUGGGAGGGAACUGGUAACAGACAUUCCAGGUACAGAGUUCCAGGUGUAGAUAAAGGCAGAGAUGAGAACCUAUUGAGGAUCUGGACGUGGGAGAGAACUUGAAAGCAAAGCCCCAUCCAAGAGUGACUAGAUAGAAUGAAGCUCUUUAGGUUAGUUUCUUUUCUUUUUGGAAAGAUUAUUCCUUUUUAAAAUUUGGGGUUGUGCUGGGUGUUCAUUGCUGUCCCAGAGAGUGGGGGCUCCUCUCUAGCUGUGGUGUGCAGGCUCCUCAUUGCAGCGACUUCUCUUGUGGCAGAGCAUGGGCUCUAGGCGCACGGGCUUCAGUAGUUGCAGUGCAGACUCAAUUGUUGCGGCUCCGGGCUUCUAGAGUGCAGGCUCAGUAGCUGUGGCAGGCGGGCUUCUUUGCUCCACACGCAGUGUGUGAAAUCUUCCCGAACAAGGGACAGAAUUUGUAUCACCUGCACUGGCACGCAGAUUCUUAUCCACUGUACCACCAGGAAAGUCCUCUAAGCCAAUUUCUGAUUGGUCAGGAAACAGAGUCCCUACCCUGUUUUCCAAGCAGCAGGUAAAAUACCAAGAGCCUCAAUUUUCUACAUAUUUUAAAAUAUAGGAAAGUGAUGUGAGCUAAGCAUGGUAAAAACAACUGAUUCACUCUUUUGCUUCAUGGAGGUCUCCGCUCAAAGGGCCUCUCAUCACAGACUAUCCUUCAUCAAUCUGUUUCUCCAUCCCUUUUGUAAGUUUGCUUACUACUGCCUGAUUUUAAGGAGAAGGCAAUGGCACCCCACUCCAGUACUCUUGCCUGGAAAAUCCUAUGGAUGGAGGAGCCUGGUGGGCUGCCGUCUAUGGGGUUGCACAGAGUCUGACACGACUGAAGCAACUUAGCAGCAGCAGCAGCAGCCUGAUUUUAUUUUUCCUAGCCCUUGGGCUUACUUGUUUACUAUGUGUCUCAACUAGAAUGAAAGCUUCAGAAAGGCCAGAACGUUGUUUUGUUCACUGCUACAUCCCAGAGCCAAGAGCAAUAAUCAAUGUUUAGGAAAGUAGUGGUGAAUGAAUGAAUGAGUUUAUCAAGCCACUGCUUAUCACAGUCUGGAUGAUCCAGACCAUUUUUCUGUGAGGGUUAGCUCCUGAGACCUACACUUCAAAAGGUUUAAUUUCUUGGUACCUUAAACCUCUCCAUGAAAAUCUACACAGAAACACAAGGACAACCUCUGGGUUAGCUCACCCAGCUGUGACACUUCCGCAUUGUAUGUAGAUAUAUGCGAGAGGCACCCUGAAGUCACCCAUCCUGGGGUUCUUUUGGCCUGGCUGGGCCAGCACGUGACAUACUGCCACAUGACUCUGUUAAAUAGAGGAAGACACAAGGUCACGGACUAACUGCCUGAGUCCAGCAAGGACCUCUGCCUCUGAGAGGAAGCUCUCAUACAUACUUUUUUUAAAAAAGAAAAAGAACUUUUUAUUUUGCAUUGGGGUACAGCCAAUUAACAAACAAUGUGGUGGUAGUUCCAGGUGAACAGAGAAAGAACUAGGCCGUACAUAUACAAAUAUCCAUUCUCUCCCAAACACCCCUCCCAUUCAGGCUGCCACAUAACACUGAGCAGAGGUCCAUGGGCUUUGCAGCAGGUCCUUGUUGGUUAUCCAUUUUAAAUAUAGCAGUGUUUUGCACACACCUUUUCAAUCCACUGCUGAUGCCAACUUUUAAAGCAGUUCAUGUUCAUGGUGAUCUACCUAAUUUAAUGUUUUUAUAGAUCUAUGCAUAUUCAAAGACUUUACUUUUUUAUCUGACCGCUUUCCAUAAAUAACAAGUAUUCCCCCCCAAUCUGCAGAAAAAUGAAAUAACAAAGACAUAUAAAACUUUCACUUGAGAGAAUUUGGCUAUGUAAACUUAUGAUCCUAUUGUAUUUCCAUACAAAUGAUACUGUGAUCUUUUCUGAGCUAGGAUAACUAUUAUAAUAAUAAACUAAGUGUAUCUUUAUGACAUAAGGUGUUGGGUAGCAUAGUAUAAAUAUUACCUACUAUUAGCAGAUGAUGCUCUCAUUUUUGUGUACAAAGACCCACACUUUCCUUUUUCAACAAUACAGAUAUCUUGCCCUGGUAUUUAUUUUUUUAAAGAGGAGAGAGUACAUUUCUUGGAACUUCCCCACAGCAUUGUCCCAGUACAAAAACACUUCUAUUUCUUCCUCACAAUCCACACAAAGCUAAUUGACCUAAAAGGUAAAAAAGCCAGGCCUAAGCAAGCCUCCUUUAUCUAAUGGAUAAAUUCACUAAGAAAAAUGGGGGGCAGAGAAUGAAAAGUACAUAGCAAUAACCCAACUGAAGGAUCACAGAGAGAAAGAGUCUAAAAGAACCUUAGAGAUUAGCAGGUCCAUGAAUAAUUCCAUGGUUAAAGUACCAACGAAAAGAGCCAUCCAGUUGCAACACUAACCUUAAAUUUAAUGAGCCAGUUGUGACCAGUGACGUUUCUGCUAUAUCUGCCUUUAGCACUAGGUGCUGCUCUACUGCUAUUUAUAGAUCAGCUUUUCUUUGAUGCACAGCAGGAGUUGAACCUCCAAAUUUGAGUUCCAUUCUGCAAAUGCUGAGUCUAAGAGUAUACACUGUUACUGUAUGAUAUGUUAAGUUGAACAAACUUCAUUUAAAAGGUGUAGCUAUUGCAUACUGAAUCUACUGAAACAGCCACUCUGGAAAAAAGUGAUCGAUACAUGCCAGGGAAAGGCUACUCCAAAGUUAAAUUUUUCAAAUUGUCCUAAUUCAAAUAUUUACUUAAACUCUGUUUUUAUAUUAUGUGCAGUACAAGGGGAAUGACAUUG